This 92-nucleotide ribosomal RNA is filed under the name Ricinus communis (castor bean). The record is from RNAcentral. Lineage: Eukaryota; Viridiplantae; Streptophyta; Magnoliopsida; Malpighiales; Euphorbiaceae.
GGGUGCGAUCAUACCAGCACUAAUGCACCGGAUCCCAUCAGAACUCCGAAGUUAAACGUGCUUGGGCGAGAGUAGUACUAAGAUGGGUGACC